RNAcentral lists this ribosomal RNA (798 nucleotides) under Labedella sp. RNAcentral's name for it is "bacterial SSU rRNA". It matches the Rfam family "Bacterial small subunit ribosomal RNA", at positions 56 to 863 of the family's 1533-position model. The record is from RNAcentral. Lineage: Bacteria; Bacillati; Actinomycetota; Actinomycetes; Micrococcales; Microbacteriaceae.
UGCAAGUCGAACGGUGAAAGAGAAGCUUGCUUCUCUGGAUCAGUGGCGAACGGGUGAGUAACACGUGAGUAACCUGCCCUUGACUCUGGGAUAAGCGUUGGAAACGACGUCUAAUACCGGAUACGAACCGUGGAGGCAUCUCCUGCGGUUGGAAAGAAUUUUGGUCAAGGAUGGACUCGCGGCCUAUCAGCUAGUUGGUGAGGUAACGGCCCACCAAGGCGACGACGGGUAGCCGGCCUGAGAGGGUGACCGGCCACACUGGGACUGAGACACGGCCCAGACUCCUACGGGAGGCAGCAGUGGGGAAUAUUGCACAAUGGGCGAAAGCCUGAUGCAGCAACGCCGCGUGAGGGACGACGGCCUUCGGGUUGUAAACCUCUUUUAGCAGGGAAGAAGCGAAAGUGACGGUACCUGCAGAAAAAGCACCGGCUAACUACGUGCCAGCAGCCGCGGUAAUACGUAGGGUGCAAGCGUUGUCCGGAAUUAUUGGGCGUAAAGAGCUCGUAGGCGGUUUGUCGCGUCUGCUGUGAAAACGCGAGGCUCAACCUCGCGCCUGCAGUGGGUACGGGCAGACUAGAGUGCGGUAGGGGAGAUUGGAAUUCCUGGUGUAGCGGUGGAAUGCGCAGAUAUCAGGAGGAACACCGAUGGCGAAGGCAGAUCUCUGGGCCGUAACUGACGCUGAGGAGCGAAAGCAUGGGGAGCGAACAGGAUUAGAUACCCUGGUAGUCCAUGCCGUAAACGUUGGGAACUAGAUGUGGGGACCAUUCCACGGUCUCCGUGUCGCAGCUAACGCAUUAA